RNAcentral lists this ribosomal RNA (254 nucleotides) under uncultured bacterium. Its description in RNAcentral is "partial 16S ribosomal RNA". It matches the Rfam family "Bacterial small subunit ribosomal RNA", at positions 524 to 776 of the family's 1533-position model. The record is from RNAcentral.
UACGGGGGGAGCAAGCGUUGUUCGGAUUUACUGGGCGUAAAGGGCGCGUAGGCGGUCAGCACAAGUCAGUUGUGAAAUCUCCGGGCUUAACUCGGAAAGGUCAACUGAUACUGUGCGACUAGAGUGCAGAAGGGGCAACUGGAAUUCUCGGUGUAGCGGUGAAAUGCGUAGAUAUCGAGAGGAACACCUGCGGCGAAGGCGGGUUGCUGGGCCGACACUGACGCUGAGGCGCGAAAGCUAGGGGAGCGAACGGG